UCGUGGGUUCAUCUCAUUUAGAUAAAAAGAUCUCACUGGAUUGAAUUUCAUUUUAACUUAUUUUUGCUUGAUAUUGAUUAUGGACAUAGAUCUUCACUGGAACAUCAGUCAGCGGUGCUUGCUAAGCUUCUUCAUCACCAUCAGAUUAAAUUCAUGAAAAAUUUUGGAUAUUUUAUGGCUUCUGCUAAUUUGAAUUGCAUUUAAUUGUUUAGAAAAUACUGAAUAUCGUUAAAUUAUUGCAUACGGAAGGAAACAAGGGACUAAUUGGGUAGAAUCCUUUCUUUUACCCCUCUCUUAUCCCCUAGAAAAUAGAGAUCGAACGGCUAAAAAUUAAAAUAAAAAUGUACUUAUUUAUUCAUUUAUUUUCACAAUUUUGAUCAGCGCUACCAAUACUUUCUAUUCUAGUGCAAUUUUUUGCGUCUGUACGUUACACGUGUCCUUUACAUUUUGCGAAAACCAAACCAACACAUAUUUUACAUGAAAUAUAGCCCACACAGAAGUGCUCGUAUUGACAGAAUCCUCCCGAAUAUCUUCUAUUUUUUAAUUUUUUUUUAAUAAUAACAUAACAAUACUACACAUAUUAAAUUUUUUAUUAAAAUUUUAAUAAUCAAUUACAUAGUAAUUUUUCAACGUAUUAAUUUUUAUAAAAAAAUAAAUUAUUUAAAAAAUAUCAAAUUAUAAAUGUUAAAAUUUUUAUAAAAAAUUUAAUAAUUUUAGAUUUAACCAUAAUAAUACGUGCAGCAAGUUGAUAAGGUUGAGAAUAAUGUUGGAAAGGACAGACCUUCACGUGUCUCUUGAGUACUGGAGGAUAUAAUUAGGGUUGGCAAUGUAUCUGGCUCCGUCUUAUCUCCGUGAUAUUCCCAACUUUAACGGGGUGGGGAUUCCCAAAUUAAUCACGAUGGCGUGGCAGAGAUGAAGCAAUUUUUUAUUUUUUAUUUUUGCCUUAAGUCGGGUUUGAUUUUAGAAUGAGGCCAGCAAUAUAAUACCACUUUGUAUUUUCCGCAUUUACAUAUAUAUAAUAAAAAAUAUUAUUAUUAUUUUUUUUUUUUAAAAAGAAUAUAAAAAUAUUAACUAGGUUUCAUAUAUAUAUUGGUUAAAAAAUUUUAAAAUACAAUUAAAAUAAUUAAGUAGGAAAGCAGAUGAGAGGCUUACCUGACUCUUCCAUACACGAGAAAUGAUAUGAAACAAGGAUAGGGAUGGAAAAUCCUAACAUGAUCUUUUUCCACACCGGUCAAUUUUCCACACCGGCGUCUCUUGACUACUGGAGGAUAUAAUCAGGGCUGGCAAUUUAUCUCGACCCAUCUUAUCUUGUGAUAUCCACGCUUAAUCAGGAUGGCAGGAUAGGGAUGAGAUAAUAAUUUUUGUGGUUUUUUUUUUUUUUUUUUUUUUUUUUUUUUUUUUUGGCCUUAAGUAGGGUUCGAUUUUAGGGUGAGGCCAAGAAUUUAAUCUCCACUUUUAUCCCUCCCUAUUUAUGUACAUAUAAUAAAAAAUAUUAUUAUUAUUUAUUUAUUAUAUUUUUUAUUUGUUUUUAA
Ziziphus jujuba (common jujube) is the source of this 1532-nucleotide long non-coding RNA. RefSeq lists it as uncharacterized. The record is from RefSeq and is a predicted model, not a curated record. NCBI's taxonomy places the organism in Eukaryota, Viridiplantae, Streptophyta, Magnoliopsida, Rosales, Rhamnaceae. The transcript has 2 exons.